CCGUUCCAUUUUAUUUCUGAGGU
RNAcentral lists this non-coding RNA (23 nucleotides) under Cricetulus griseus (Chinese hamster). The record is from RNAcentral. RNAcentral also lists the same sequence under 1 other name. Lineage: Eukaryota; Metazoa; Chordata; Mammalia; Rodentia; Cricetidae.